Molecule: long non-coding RNA, 246 nt
Organism: Cyprinus carpio (common carp)
Lineage: Eukaryota; Metazoa; Chordata; Actinopteri; Cypriniformes; Cyprinidae
Exons: 3
Source: RefSeq, a predicted model, not a curated record
CAACUCCCAACACCCGCAUUUAACAUGCAGAGAGUUACUCAAGAAAUGGCAGUCCCUCCACAACUCCCUCCACCCCCCGCACCAGCCCUCAACAUGCGGCCAACAGAGGAAGCCUGUUCAAGCCUGACCUACAGACCAACAUGGCGAGGGGGAAGAAUGGGCGAUACCAUUCCCUGCUCUGCGGCUGAGGUCCACAUCCAUAGCCUGCUGGAAACCAUUAAACAGCAACAAGACCAGCUUGUGGCA